AGCGGUAGUUAUAAAUUUAUACAAAUUAUAACUUGACACUUUUUCUUUUGACUAAAAUGACUCAUUUUCCAAUAAACGAAAAGGAACGAACACGAGCACCUAGUUAACUAGCACAAUCAACGAUGUGGAACGGGAACAAUAUUUCUAUUCAAUAAGUACGAUUUUCAUCAUUUAUCUAACAAAUAAGGAAUCUCUAACGAUUGCCCAAAAGGUUGUUAAUAUUCUAGUCAAAAAAAAUCUCAAAAGUACCUAAAUAUAAAAAUAUUAGUGUACGUCUAAGUCCUGUAAGGAGUUAUAGCCAGAGUCUCCUGGAGGGAGAGCGGGAAUUUGUGUAUAGAUCUAUACGAGGUUGACACGCCGCACCUUCACUGUUCACUACAGCUAGACAUGCCAGUCUAGGGUGACAAAUGUCUUUUCCAAACCGAGGGCGCCUGAGAAACGUCAAAACAGGCACUCGUCAUGAUUAGUAUGGUUAUAAUGAUAAACUAGAACGCACACACUCAAUUUUACUCGAUAAGAGGAACAUGAUUUUCAACCAUAUUUCCUUUUUGAAAAUAAGGGAUUUUUCUUGAGACGGUUGAUUGUUACUUUUCAAAAGAACUCUUCUCGGACACAGCUCGCUUUUACAAAUCACACUACUUUUCAAAAUCACUCCUUAUAAGGAUGAACAAAAGUAACGACAUGCACACAUAUAUCCAUGAUUUUCAAGGCAAGACUUCAAACGAUUUCAUUGAAAAUAUCUGAUUUUCUGAAAGUACAACGAGAACGAUUCUGAACUAGUGUAAACGAUUUUAUAAAAAAAUGCUUAUGAACUCACAAACUUUUUAGUUGACGCUUUUCAGAACGACUUGUAUUCUCAGGGAUCUAGUAAGCAGGUAACAAGGGACGCUGAUGCAAGGCUAUUUAGCUGUAGUUUGGAUUCUUUUCUACUUAUGUAUCUUUUGUGUAACUCGAAGAACAAAUACAAAAUGUAAAACAAUGUAAGUUUGUUAUCUCAAUGUAUGAUGUUUGGAUUGCUCUGUUUCAUGUAUAUUCAAUUGUUAUGAUACUGCGCAAUGAAGUUACCCGCCUCCGGACAUUUCCGCCGUCUGGUCCGGGGGUGUGACAGAUUGGUAUCAGAGCAUUGUUUAUAGUGAACUGGUAUAUCUAGCCAUAUGAGAUAUGCCACUAUAAAUACAAUGGGACUAAAACAAACUCUGCCUAAAAUUAUACUUUAAGAAUAUAAGUAUUUAUAAAAGUAUACAUAAUUACUAACCUAGUAUCAUAAUGAGAAGAGACCGAGAGUAACUAAAGUUUGAACACUACAGUCAAACCUAGGGAGUUAUGUAAUCAUAUCUAGGAUCAAUAUAGCCUGAUCAACUAUAUUUAUUUGAGGUAUGACCAACACGUGCUUGGGUAUGAUGGUGGUGUUGCAACAAACCUAAAACCUAACAACUAUGCACACAAGAGAAUACUAGAAUUUGAACAUCAAGUUUAAAAUACUAUAGGAGUAUUUUAGGAUACUCUAAACCCCUCACACCUAAACCAUCCCUGUAUAUCUCGAGCCGCGACUCUUACACAUACGCCAUAAUUGAAAUUCCUCACCUAGACUUCUACAAACCUAUCAUGAUGAUUUACGGAUGGGGCAAGGAGAGACCAAAAGAAUCACAAGAGGAAAAUCCAGAAAUGGAUCCUAGGGGAUACCCAUAGCUGAAUUGUGAAAGGGAGAAUUCCGAUUAAGAAUUCAACAAGGAUAAAAGCGCCAAGGAAACCCUUGAUAAGCUUUGCCAAAAUGAGAGUAAACCCGAGACCCUUUCACCUCUCUCUUCCCAGAUACGUAAACACCCUAUAUAGGUACUCCUAGAAUAGACAUACCCAGAAACAAAAUGAUACCCACGCAAAAAUGAGUUGAGCAAUUAACUCCUACCCGGUUUAGGGUGCAUCUCCACAAAAGACAAUCCGAUCCACAAUCGACGCGCACCGAACUCCGAGAGCCAACACCCUCGCGGAUUAGAUGACCGUUUGGGUCAAGAGUAACCCGAAUUGAAUCCCAGUUUCCAACCCUCGGUCGUGGAGUAAUGCACACCAUAUGCAAAACCCGGUGUGCAACAGUGUAAAUCCGAUCCCUAACAAGUAACAAGAACACCAUUCCAAAUGCCUUAUGAAACCCACCAGUAGGACCAAAGAACUAUGUAGACCACACACACUCCUUAAAAGAGAAAAGAUGUCAUUUGGAGAUCACAACUCAUAGCAAUCAAGUCUAGGACAACCUUAGCAGCGUAAGGAACACAAAAAUGGCACCCUUAAUAUAAGUGAAAUGGUCAAGCACUUUGUGCGCCAAAAGAGGAUAGCCACACUACUCGCCUUAGGUUCAUAAUGCCCUUAGUCGCAACCAGUAAAAGUGAACCAAGAGGAGUUCAUCCUCCAAAAAUCCAUACAACCAAACCCGUUAACCAUAUUGCUAGCCAUGUGCUACGACGACAGACUUUACAUCAGACAAUACAUGUUCCCACCCUCCACCAUAACUGCAUCAUGGGGAUGUAGGUUGGACCGAUUAACACCAGUACGUUAGGAUUAUACGAGUAAACUCACUUGGAACUUACUACGAGUACUCACAAGCUCACUUUUCGUGUGCAACAGAGUUAUGUCUUCUCAUGAAGGUAACCAUUAUCCCGACCAUGCACCGAUCCUACGAAUAGACUCUGCCACUUCCAAAGCCACUGUAACAUCGACUGUGGCAGCCGUCAUGGCCUACUUCAAUACAAAUGACACAAUAAAAGUUGGAAACAAUGUCGGUAACUCCAACUGUAACAACAACCAAAGAAACCAACUAAGAACAACUCACCCAUGCACUAAAAAACCUAAACCUAAGAACAAGAAAUGAAAGUUCAGGAACGAAAAAGGAGUCAGUUCGACUCAGAGGCUUACUAAAAAGAAACAAGCGAGAUUAGUUCCUACCCAUAUUAACCCUACUCCUCCCCCAUCGAGACAAUCAUACCUUGGGAGCAAUCCACCCUGCAACAAGCGAAAUUACCAUCAUUGGGGGGCCUACCAGACAUUUUGUUGCAAAAGGGUGCAACAAGAUGGGGCACAUCUCCCGCUACUGUAGGGCCCCGACCCCAUGAAUCACCCCAAUUCCCAACCCAGAAGUAAGUCAAGUUUGUCACCAGUGCGGUGCAACAGGACAUUUGAAGAGAAAUUGUCCAACAGUGAUGACUGACGAGGGAGUUGACAACUAGACAGGAAGAGACAACAAGAAACCCUACCGAGAUUUUCGGCACGUUUCGAACGACAAACUUUAUAUGACGAAUUUUCCCGAAAAGGUAUUGAAAAUUGAAAACAUAAUAAAAAACUACUCCCCCAGUUGAGCAAAUCUGUAAAUCAUGGAGAAGCUAGCGAAUCCUUACGAAUGGACUAUGAUGGCCCCAUAUAAACGUUAGUAUCAUACGUGGUUAAGAUUCCGCAAACUCAGAACGUGCGAUUCCGUCUUACUUUCUGCCCCUGGGCUGAAUAAUGAGUAGGACAGAACCCCACAGGCAACCAUCUCCAAAGAUCCUAAGAUCUUAAGUACGUACAGUUAGGUCAUAUCCAUCUAUAGCGGAGGGACCUGGCAGAAUUCGGAUUACGAAUUCCAUUGCCUUAUAACAGCACCCUCGUGUCGCUAGGACACCUAAAAAGCAGAGACGAAAUAGACCUAAUGGUAGCAACGAAAAUGAAACUAGCAAUGAUGAGAACACGAACACUAGAACACCUAACAAGCAGAAACGAGAUAGAUCGAAUGGUAACAACGAAAACAAAACUAGUAACUAUAGGAGCAUGAACAUAAAACGCCUUGUCUCCUCAAAUCGAUGUAACAACAAGGAGUCCAAUGUCGUUAGUUGACACGGACAUGCUUGAUCCUCACCUUACAAACCUAGAGCUCUAUCAAUAGUCUUUCUUCCUACUCCACCGGGUAACGAAACUCUUUUAGCUGGUAACGACAAAUCCCUAGUAACCAGACACCUAAGUCCUGGUGUAAGAAUCGCCACACGCCCUUCCUUAGCCCCAACAAAGAUUAAAAAUCAAGGAGCAAAGGGCAUAAAAAGGAAUCCAAAAGGCUUCCAACCAUUCCUCCAGAGAUUCCUAAAAUCUCUUAUAAAGCCUCAACCAUGUGCUAAACAGAGGUAGAAUCACCUCGACUCCUAGAAUCACGUCAAUGACCUAACACCCGACACCACUUAGCACGGUCACAAGAACAAAUGGUGUCUGAUCAUAAGAUCAACAUAUUAUGUAAAGGAAACAUCAGACCCAAUCCCUAAACACAGGAAGCACCUGUCUAACCCUUAAGGGGAGAAAGACGAAAUUGCCAUAGGCACCACCAUCCACGAAUAAGCCAAACAAACCCAUCCUCAAGGAUCGAUACUCCCUACCCCAGAAUCGGAGACAUGUUCAACCAAAAACAAGGGCUGGCAGAGGCCAACCUACCAUUAGCUCGGGAAAACUAUAGGAAGAAAACUCCCCAUAUAAUCGAAGACUCAUAAGUUCAACCACAUCACACACAAACUCAACCUUGGUAACUAUAGCACCAACUCCUAACGCCCAUAAAACUCUACUUCUGGGAUACCCGGAUCCUGAUCCCUAGAAAACCAUUCAAAAGGCCUCGCCAAGGAAAAGCUCCGAUAAACCAUAGUCUCCGAUUAAGCUAAGAGCUCAGUUAAGACAUUUUACAUUCCAUGUAUUCUACACUCAUAAGUGUCGAACCACCAAAACUCUAGAAAUCCCAUAUGUCGAGGUCAAGGUAAAAACAAACCCACACCCCAAAGAGAAGCAUGUGUAGUGGACAUUGACAAGGUUGGAUGCCCACUUGCUUCUAAUCGAGUACUCAUACACCAAAAACUACCACCCGAGCAUGGGAGUUGUAUCCUUCAAGGCCCCCGUUUGGCCGGAAAUGCAGAUCAUCCUAUGUUGGGCAGAGGUGAGAGACACCAAACUGAAAAGAGAACAAACACUCAAUAGCUUACUCCCUAGAUCCAAGAUUACUCACGAAACCACAAGAAAGAUAGUCAAAACCUGAACACGACCCCAAACAUCGUAUAAGUCAACAAUAGAACUAUACAGAUAGCAGGUUAAGGCCUCAAAAUCCCAAGUAGGGAUCAUGGUACUAUUUAAGAACUCACCCCCGAAGAAGAGUAACUCGAAUCAAAAAGAAAAGUGAACUAAACUCCCAAUGCACCAGACCCUUUGAGAUCCUUGUACGGAUCGGCCCGGUAGCCUACCAAAUCCAAUUACCCUCCGAUUUUAGUAAUGCACACCCUGCAUUUCAUGUAUCAAACCUAGAAAGUGUCUAUCGGACAACCCUCCUAGUCCCACUAGACAAGGCUAAGGCGAACUAGAACCUCCUAAUCAUUGAUCCGCCUAUAGAGACAAUGAACGGAAAUGUUAAGAACACAUAAGCAAAGCCACAUCCCAAUGGUGAGGGUUCAAUGGAAACGCUAGGCGUGAACCGGUAUUCACUUGGCAAUUUGAGGACCAUAUAAAUCAAAAGUACCCUCACCUAUUUUCGCAUUCAUAACCGUACCCUUUGAAAGAAUUUCGGGACAAAAUUCCCUCUAACAGGGGAAUGAUGUCACAACUAGCACUUUUGGCUAGGAAAUUCCGUCCUCAGCUAAGCAAGGACUAUUGUGAAACUUGUGCUAACUCACCUAAAUGUUUAAUAUGAGUUCCUAAGGAGCCAUAAAGUGUUACAAUGCAAAUCUCUCCAAGUAUAGUGAAUCUCUCCCAAAUCUCUCCAAGCUUGUGAAAUCUCUCUCAAAUCUCUCUAAGUAUAGUAAAUCUCUCCAAGUAUAGUAAUUCUCUCCCAAAUCUCUCUAAGUGUGCGAAAUCUCUCCAAGAAUAGUGAAUCUCUCCCAAAUCUCUCUAAGUAUGCGAAAUCUCUCUAUGUAUGGUGAAUCUCUCCUAAAUCUCUCCAAGAAAACUAAAUCUCUCCCAAAUCUCCCUAAGUAUGCAAAAUCUCUCCAAGAAAAGUGAAUCUCUCCCAAAUCUUUUUAAGUAUGCGAAAUCUCUCCAAGAAUAGUGAAUCUCUCCCAAAUCUCUCAAAGUAUGUGAAAUCUCUCCCAAAUCUCUCCACGUUUCUCAAAUCUCUCUCAAAUCUCCUUAAAUACCUUCCUUAGUCGAAAACAGCUCAAAACCGGAAGAGGAAACCCCAAAAGGAACCUCUUGGUCCGGAACCCUCAUGGUCCUGAACCUCUUGGUCCGGACUCCUCUUGGUCCGGAACCCUCUUAGUCCGGACACCUUCUUUGGAACCGAGAAGGCUCUCACCUUCAGAAUUCCCUUGCUUCGGAUCUCCUCACUGCUCCGGAUGGUUUGAAUCCGGAAGGCUUCACAUGACUUGCUUCAGACAUCUAGCCGCCUCGCAUCCUCGGUCCGGACUUACCUGAUCUUGCACCCGACUCUGGAGGUGAGCAUUGGCUUCGGAACUUGUCCAGCGCCUUCGGAACCUACCCAGCAGCUUCGGAAUUUACCCAAAUGACUUCGGAAAUUAGAAUCUGACACCGGAAUCCUUCUUAUGCUUCUCGGACCCUCGCAAGAACCAAUCCCCACUCCGAAAUUUCAUUGUUUUCGGACUUUUUCACCAUUUUAAGACAUUUUGACGCCGAAAAUUACACCAUACUUGUAUUUUUCCUAUCCUAAACCCCUUAGACCCCUAUUUUAUGCUAAAAUUAAUUAUUUUAAGCAUAUUCUUCAUAAAAACAAAUGGUUGGGAUUUAGGAAAACCUUAUCCUAAAUCAAGCAAAGGACAAAAGGAUUGACUUUGUGAUUUGAGGAAAUUCCUCACUUCCCAUGCAAAUCACAGUACUCCAUGCUUUACCCCCAAAUAUCCAUGCAUGGACCACCAGAUACCCAUGUACCAAAGAUUCCUUCCUUUUCCUUAUACUCUAAAGCAACGACAGUGUGGGAGUUUAGACUCCACUUUCUCUCACAUUUUUCCCCAUUUUCUCUCAAAAACUCAUCUUCAAGUAAGAAAAGAGGAUCUUGCUGAAAGGAAAUUUCUCAACUUCUUCCUGAGAGAUUUUAAAGUAAAUUCCUCCACUCAUCUAAUAUUUUAUUAUAUAUCAAGAUGAAUCCAUAUUAUCUUAUUCAUAAUAAUAUGUGAUGAUCAUCCUUAGGAAAGUAUCCCUCCCACGGAAGUUCCUCAUCUUAGCCAAGAGUUAAAGCGUGAGAUCAUCACUCCAUAACUCCAAACAACUCCUCAACCAACUCAUGGUGAGCUUCAUACCCCACAUUUUCCAUAUUUUAAUGUUUUUGGGNNNNNNNNNNNNNNNNNNNNNNNNNNNNNNNNNNNNNNNNNNNNNNNNNNNNNNNNNNNNNNNNNNNNNNNNNNNNNNNNNNNNNNNNNNNNNNNNNNNNUUCAAUUGUUAUGAUACUGCGCAAUGAAGUUACCCGCCUCCGGACGUUUCCACCGUUUGGUCCGGGGGUGUGACAGAUUGGUAUCAGAGCAUUGUUUAUAGUGAACUGGUAUAUCUAGCCAUACGAGAUAUGCAACUAUAAAUACAAUGGGACUAAAACAAACUCUGCCUAAAAUUAUACUUUAAGAAUAUAAGUAUUUAUAAAAGUAUACAUAAUUACUAACCCAGUAUCAUAACAAGAAGAGACCGAGAGUAACUAAAGUUUGAACACUACAGUCAAACCUAGGCAGUUAUGUAAUCAUAUCUAGGAUCAAUAUAGCCUGAUCAACUAUAUUUAUUUGAGGUAUGACCAACACGUGCUUGGGUGUGAUGGUGGUGUUGCAACAAACCUAAAACCUAAAAACUAUGCACACAAGAGAAUACUAGAAUUCGAACAUCAAGUAUAAAAUACUAUAGGAGUAUUUUAGGAUACUAUAAACCCCUCACACCUAAACCAUCCCUGUAUAUCUCAAGCCGCGACUCUUGCACAUACGACAUAAUUGAAAUUCCUCACCUAGACUUCUACAAUCCUAUCAUGAUGAUUUACGGAUGGGGCAAGGAGAGACCAAAAGAAUCACAAGAGGAAAAUCCAGAAAUGGAUCCUAGGGGAUACCCAUAGAUGAAUUGUGAAAGGGAGAAUUCCGAUUAAGAAUUCAACAAGGAUAAAAGCGCCAAGGAAACCCUUGAUAAGCUUUGCCCAAAUGAGAGUAAACCCAAGACCCUUUCACCUCUCUCUUCCCAGAUACGUAAACACCCUAGAAACAAAAAGAUACCCACGCAAAAACGAGUUGAGCAAUUGACUCCUACCCGAUUUAGGGCGCAUCUCCACAAAAGACAAUCCGAUCCACAAUCGAUGCGCACCGAACUCCGAGAGCCAACACCCUCGCGGAUCAGAUGACCGUUUGGGUCAAGAGUAACCCGAAUUGAAUCCCAGUUUCCAACCCUCGGUCGUGGAGUAAUGCACACCAUAUGCAAAACCCGGUGUGCAACAGUGUAAAUCCGAUCCCUAACAAGUAACAAGAACACCAUUCCAAAUGCCUUAUGAAACCCACCAGUAGGACCAGAGAACUAUGUAGACCACACACACUCCUUAAAAGAGAAAAGAUGUCAUUUGGAGACCACAACUCAUAGCAAUAAAGUCUAGGACAGCCUUAGCAGCGUAAGGAACACAAAAAUUGCACCCUUAAUAUAUGUGAAAUGGUCAAGCACUUUGUGUGCCAAAAGAGGAUCGCCACACUACUCGCCUUAGGUUCAUAAUGCCCUUAGUCGCAACCAGUAAAAGUGAACCAAGAGGAGUUCAUACUCCAAAAAUCCAUACAACCGAACCCGUUAACCAUAUUGCUAGCCAUGUGCUAUGACGACAGACUUUACAUCAGACAAUACAUGUUCCCACCCUCCACCAUAACUGCAUCAUGGGGAUGUAGGUUGAACCGAUUAACACCAGUACAUUAGGAUUAUACGAGAAAACUCACUUGGAACUUACUACGAGUACUCACAAGCUCACUUUUCGUGUGCAACAGAGUUAUGUCUUCUCAUGAAGGUAACCAGUAUCCCGGCCAUGCACCGGUCCUACGAAUAGACUCUGCCACUUUCCAAGACACUGUAACAACGAUUGUGGUAGCCGUCAUGGCCUACUUCAAUACAAAUGACACAAAAAAAAGUUGGAAACAAUGUUGGUAACUCCAACCGUAACAACAACCAAAGAAACCAACUAAGAACAACUCACCCAUGCACUAAAAAACCUAAACCUAAGAACAAGAAAUGAAAGUUCAGGAACGAAAAAGGAGUCAGUUCGACUCAGAGGCUUACUAAAAAGAAACAAGCGAGAUUAGUUCCUACCCAUACUAACCCUACUCCUCCCCCAUCGAGACAAUCAUACCUUGGGAGCAAUCCACCCUGCAACAAGCGAAAUUACCAUCAUUGGGGAGCCUACCAGACAUUUUGUUGCAAAAGGGUGCAACAAGAUGGGGCACAUCUCCCGCUACUGUAGGGCCCCGACCCCAUGAAUCACCCCAAUUCCCAACCCAGAAGUAAGUCAAGUUUGUCACCAGUGCGGUGCAACAGGACAUUUGAAGAGAAAUUGUCCAACAGUGAUGACUGACGAGGGAGUUGACAACUAGACAGGAAGAGACAACAAGAAACCCUACCGAGAUUUUCGGCACGUUUCGAACGACAAACUUUAUAUGACGAAUUUUACCGAAAAGGUAUUGAAAAUUGAAAACAUAAUAAAAAACUACUCCCCCAGUUGAGCAAAUCUGUAAAUCAUGGAGAAGCUAGCGAAUCCUUACGAAUGGACUAUGAUGGCCCCAUAUAAACGUUAGUAUCAUACGUGGUUAAGAUUCCGAAAACUAAGAACGUGCGAUUUCGUCUUACUUUCUGCCCCUGGGCUGAAUAAUGAGUAGGACAGAACCCCACAGGCAACCAUCUCCAAAGAUCCUAAGAUCUUAAGUACGUACAGUUAGGUCAUAUCCAUCUAUAGCGGAGGGACCCGACAGAAUUCAGAUUACGAAUUCCCUUGCCUUAUAACAGCACCCUCGUGUCGCUAGGACACCUAAAAAGCAGAGACGAAGUAGACCUAAUGGUAGCAGCGAAAAUGAAACUAGCAACGAUGAGAACACGAACACUAGAACACCUAACAAGCAGAAACGAGAUAGAUCGAAUGGUAACAACGAAAACAAAACUAGUAACUAUAGGAGCAUGAACAUAAAACGCCUUGUCUCCUCAAAUCGAUGUAACAACAAGGAGUCCAAUGUCGUUAGUUGACACGGACAUGCUUGAUCCUCACCUUACAAACCUAGAGCUCUAUCAAUAGUCUUUCUUCCUACUCCACCGGGUAACGAAACUCUUUUAGCUGGUAACGACAAAUCCCUAGUAACCAGACACCUAAGUCCUGGUGUAAGAAUCGCCACACGCCCUUCCUUAGCCCCAACAAAGAUUAAAAAUCAAGGAGCAAAGGGCAUAAAAAGGAAUCCAAAAGGCUUCCAACCAUUCCUCCAGAGAUUCAUAAAAUCUCUUAUAAAGCCUCAACCAUGUGCUAAACAGAGGUAGAAUCACCUCGACUCCUAGAAUCACCUCAAUGACCUAACACCCGACACCACUUAGCACGGUCACAAGAACAAAUGGUGUCUGAUCAUAAGAUCAAAAUAUUAUGUAAAGGAAACAUCAGACCCAAUCCCUAAACACAGGAAGCACCUGUUUAACCCUUAAGGGGAGAAAGACAAAAUUGCCAUAGGCUCCACCGUCCACGAAUAAGCCAAACAAAGCCAUCCUCAAGGAUCGAUACUCCCUACCCUAGAAUCGGAGACAUGUUCAACCAAAAACAAGGGCUGGCAGAGGCCAACCUACCAUUAGCUUGGGAAAACUAUAGGAAGAAAACUCCGCAUAUAAUCGAAGGCUCAUAAGUUCAACCACAUCACACACAAACUCAACCUUGGUAACUAAAGCACCAACUCCUAAGGCCCAGAAAACUCUACUUUUGGGAUACCCGGAUCCUGAUCCCUAGGAAACAUUCAAAAGGCCUCGCCAAGGAAAAGCUCCGAUAAACCAUAGUCUCCGAUUAACCUAAGAGCUCAGUUAAGACAUUUUACAUUCCAUGAAUUCUACACUCAUAAGUUUCGAACCACCGAAACUCUAGAAAUCCCAUAUGUUGAGGUCAAGGUAAAAACAAACCCACACCCCAAAGAGAAGCAUGUGUAGUGGACAUUGACAAGGUUGGAUGCCCACUUGCUUCUAAUCGAGUACUCAUACACCAAAAACUACCACCCGAGCAUGGGAGUUGUAUCCUUCAAGGCCCCCGUUUGGCCGGAAAUGCAAAUCAUCCUAUGUUGGGCAGAGGUGAUAGACACCAAACUGAAAAGAGAACAAACGCUCAAUAGCUUACUCCCUAGAUCCAAGAUUACUCACGAAACCACAAGAAGGAUAGUCAAAACCCGAACACGACCCCAAACAUCGUAUAAGUCAACAGUAAAACUAUACAGAUAGCAGGUUAAGGCCUCAAAAUCCCAAGUAGGGAUCAGGGUACUAUUUAAGAACUCCCCCUGAAGAAGUGUAACUUGAAUCAAAAGGAAAAGUGAACUAAACUCCCGAUGCACCAGACCCUUUGAGAUCCUUGCACGGAUCGGCCCGGUAGCCUACCAAAUCCAAUUACCCUCCGAUUUUAGUAAUGCACACCCUGCAUUUCAUGUAUCAAACCUAGAAAGUGUCUAUCGGACAAGGGAAAUGCUAGGCGUGAACCGGUAUUCACUUGGCAAUGUGAGGACCACAUAAAUCAAAAGUACCCUUACCUAUUUUCGCGUUCAUAACCGUACCCUUUGAUAGAAUUUCGGGACGAAAUUCCCUCUAACAGGGGAAUGAUGUCACAACUAGCACUUUUGGCUAGGAAAUUCCGUCCUCAGCUAAGCAAGGACUAUUGUGAAACUUGUGCUAACUCACCUAAAUGUUUAAUAUGAGUUCCUAAGGAGCCAUAAAGUGUUAGAAUGCAAGUCUUUCCAAGUAUAGUGAAUCUCUCCCAAAUCUCUCCAAGCUUGUGAAAUCUCUCUCAAAUCUCUCUAAGUAUAGUAAAUCUCUCCAAGUAUAGUAAUUCUCUCCCAAAUCUCUCUAAGUAUGCGAAAUCUCUCCAAGUAUGGUGAAUCUCUCCUAAAUCUCUCCAAGAAAACUGAAUCUCUCCCAAGUCUCCCUAAUUAUGCAAAAUCUCUCCAAGAAAAGUGAAUCUCUCCCAAAUCUCCUUAAGUAUGCGAAAUCUCUCCAAGAAUAGUGAAUGUCUCUUAAAUCUCUCAAAGUAUGUGAAAUCUCUCCCAAAUCUCUCUCAAAUCUCCUUAAAUACCUUCCUUAGUCGAAAACAGCUCAAAACUGGAAGAGGAAACUGAUGGGUUUUAGCCAUAAGAACUUUCCUAUGUGCGCANNNNNNNNNNNNNNNNNNNNNNNNNNNNNNNNNNNNNNNNNNNNNNNNNNNNNNNNNNNNNNNNNNNNNNNNNNNNNNNNNNNNNNNNNNNNNNNNNNNNUGCCUAAUAUAGUUGCAGCCUUAGACACUAUUCCAACAGAAACCCCAAAAGGAACCUCUUGGUCCAGAACCCUCUUGGUCCUGAACCUCUUGGUCCUGAACCUCUUGGUCCGGACUCCUCUUGGUCCGGAACCCUCUUAGUCCGGACACCUUCUUUGGAACCGAGAAGGCUCUCACCUUCGGAAUUCCCUUGCUUCGGAUCUCCUCACUGCUCCGGAUGGUUUGAAUCCGGAAGGCUUCGCAUGACUUGCUUCAGACAUCUAGCCGCCUCGCAUCCUCGGUCCGGACUUACCUGAUCUCGCAUCCGACUCCGGAAGUGAGCAUUGGCUUCGGAACUUGUCCAGCGCCUUCGGAACCUACCCAGCAGCUUCGGAAUUGACCCAAAUGACUUCGGAAAUUAGAAUCUGACUCCGAAAUCCUUCUUAUGCAUCUCGGACCCUCGCAGGAACCAAUCCCCACUCCGGAAUUUCAUUGUUUUCGGACUUUUUCACCAUUUUAAGACAUUUUGACGCCAAAAAUUACACCAAACUUGUAUUUUUCCUAUCCUAAACCCCUUAGACCCCUAUUUUAUGCUAAAAUUAAUUAUUUUAAGCAUAUUCUUCAUAAAAACAAAUGGUUGGGAUUUAGGAAAACCUUAUCCUAAAUCAAGCAAAGGACAAAAGGAUUGACUUUGUGAUUUGAGGAAAUUCCUCACUUCCCAUGCAAAUCACAGUACUCCAUGCUUUACCCCCAAAUAUCCAUGCAUGGACCACCAGAUACCCAUGUACCAAAGAUUCCUUCCUUUUCCUUAUACUCUAAAGCAACGACAGUGUGGGAGUUUAGACUCCACUUUCUCUCACAUUUUUCCCCAUUUUCUCUCAAAAACUCAUCUUCAAGCAAGAAUAGAGGAUCUUGCUGAAAGGAAAUUUCUCAACUUCUUCCUGAGAAAUUUUAAAGUAAAUUCCUCCACUCAUCUAAUAUUUUAUGAUAUAUCAAGAUGAAUCCAUAUUAUUUUAUUCAUAAUAAUAUGUGAUGAUCAUCCUUAGGAAAGUGUCCCUCCCAGGGAAGUUCCUCAUCUCAGCCAAGAGUUAAAGCGUGAGAUCUUCACUCCAUAACUCCAAACAACUCCUCAACCAACUCAAGGUGAGCUUCAUACCCCACAUUUUUCAUGUUUUAAUGUUUUUGGGGGAGAGUACAAGUCAAAUCUUGCCUAAACUCUUAAAUGAUUACAUAUAUACAUAUGUUUGUAUGUGUGUGAAAUAUUAUUAAAUUAUUAUUUAGUAAUAUACUCAUGAACGAAGGAUUUCUAAAUUUCACAAAGAAUAGAGGAUACUUUGAACAAAAGAGCCUCCUAACUAUUGAGUGUAUCCAACUUAACCCCUUUAUCUAUGCUUUCGUGUCUAAAGAUAAAAUGUUAUAAAAGGGAUCUUACUAAGUGGACACCAUUUCUAGUGAUUUUUCGAAAAUAGAAAUUUUGUGACUAUUUUGCAAACUAUCAGGGUGUAUUUUAUAAAUAUUCAACAUACAAGUUUGCGUCAAGAAAAUAUACAAGUAGAACCUCUAUGACAGAAAUAUUUGCAUGUCAUAAACAGUUGUCAUAAAACCUCCAAGAAAACAAGUAAUGUUCUAUAUGUCAUAAAACAAAAAAUGCGUGUCAUAAGCGGCAGUUUUAAAUUUAUACAAAUUAUAACUUAACACUUUUUCUUUUGAAUAAAAUGACUCAUUUUCCAAUAAACGAAAAGCAACGAACACGAGCACCUAGUUAACGAGCACAAUCAACGAUAUGGAACGAGAACGAUAUUUCUAUUCAAUAAGUACGAUUUUCAUCAUUUAUCUAACAAAUAAUGAAUCUCUAACGAUUGCCCAAAAGGUUGUUAAUAUUCUAGUCAGAAAAAUCUCAAAAGUACCUAAAUAUAAAAAUAUUAGUGUACGUCUAAGUUCUGUAAGGAGUUAUAGCCAGAGUCUCCUGGAGGGAGAGCGGGAAUUUGUGUAUAGAUCUAUACGAGGUUGNCCGCACCUUUGCUGUUCGCUACAGCUGGACAUGCCAGUCUAGGGUGACAAAUGUCUUUUCCAAACCAAGGGCGCCUGAGAAAUG
RNAcentral lists this long non-coding RNA (14477 nucleotides) under Lactuca sativa (garden lettuce). RNAcentral describes it as "long non-coding RNA (LSAT_LNC007710)". The record is from RNAcentral. Lineage: Eukaryota; Viridiplantae; Streptophyta; Magnoliopsida; Asterales; Asteraceae.